AUUCCUUAGGAUGCCCAUGAGCAUACCUCCAAGCCUUAGUCAGCCCAUGAUCCACAAUAGCCUCUUGGCUUGAUAAUGCAUUUUCAAUUAAUUUUUGUUCAUCUUCUUGUAAUGUCAUCUCAUCAAUCUUUUCUUCAAGAAUUUCAGUAUCAUCAUCAAGAUCAACUCUCUUGCUAGAAGAGAUAUCACUAGAAUGAUCAAAAACAACAUGUAUAGAUUCUUCAAUA
This 227-nucleotide long non-coding RNA is filed under the name Phoenix dactylifera (date palm). RNAcentral's name for it is "long non-coding RNA (PDAC_LNC015094)". The record is from RNAcentral. Lineage: Eukaryota; Viridiplantae; Streptophyta; Magnoliopsida; Arecales; Arecaceae.